This 793-nucleotide ribosomal RNA is filed under the name uncultured bacterium. Its description in RNAcentral is "bacterial SSU rRNA". It matches the Rfam family "Bacterial small subunit ribosomal RNA", at positions 201 to 1006 of the family's 1533-position model. The record is from RNAcentral.
GGAAAGAUUUAUCGGUUAUGGAUGGUCUCGCGGCCUAUCAGCUUGAUGGUGGGGUAAUGGCCUACCAUGGCAAUGACGGGUAACCGGCCUGAGAGGGUGACCGGUCACACUGGAACUGAGACACGGUCCAGACUCCUACGGGAGGCAGCAGUGGGGAAUAUUGCACAAUGGGCGCAAGCCUGAUGCAGCGACGCCGCGUGAAGGAUGACGGCCUUCGGGUUGUAAACUUCUUUUAACGGGGAAGAAGCGUAAGUGACGGUACCUGUUGAAUAAGCACCGGCUAACUACGUGCCAGCAGCCGCGGUAAUACGUAGGGUGCAAGCGUUGUCCGGAAUUAUUGGGCGUAAAGAGCUCGUAGGCGGUUUGUCGCGUCUGCUGUGAAAGACCGGGGCUUAACCCCGGUUCUGCAGUGGGUACGGGCAGGCUAGAGUGUGGUAGGGGAGAAUGGAAUUCCUGGUGUAGCGGUGGAAUGCGCAGAUAUCAGGAAGAACACCGAUGGCGAAGGCAGUUCUCUGGGCCACUACUGACGCUGAGGAGCGAAAGCGUGGGGAGCGAACAGGAUUAGAUACCCUGGUAGUCCACGCCGUAAACGGUGGGCACUAGAUGUGGGAAUUUUUCUACGGUUUCCGUGUCGCAGCUAACGCAUUAAGUGCCCCGCCUGGGGAGUACGGUCGCAAGGCUAAAACUCAAAGGAAUUGACGGGGGCCCGCACAAGCGGCGGAGCAUGCGGAUUAAUUCGAUGCAACGCGAAGAACCUUACCAAGGCUUGACAUAUGCCAGACAGGGUCAGAGA